RNAcentral lists this ribosomal RNA (2369 nucleotides) under Escherichia coli. Its description in RNAcentral is "partial 23S ribosomal RNA". It matches the Rfam family "Bacterial large subunit ribosomal RNA", at positions 593 to 2925 of the family's 2925-position model. The record is from RNAcentral. Lineage: Bacteria; Pseudomonadati; Pseudomonadota; Gammaproteobacteria; Enterobacterales; Enterobacteriaceae.
GUGACUGCGUACCUUUUGUAUAAUGGGUCAGCGACUUAUAUUCUGUAGCAAGGUUAACCGAAUAGGGGAGCCGAAGGGAAACCGAGUCUUAACUGGGCGUUAAGUUGCAGGGUAUAGACCCGAAACCCGGUGAUCUAGCCAUGGGCAGGUUGAAGGUUGGGUAACACUAACUGGAGGACCGAACCGACUAAUGUUGAAAAAUUAGCGGAUGACUUGUGGCUGGGGGUGAAAGGCCAAUCAAACCGGGAGAUAGCUGGUUCUCCCCGAAAGCUAUUUAGGUAGCGCCUCGUGAAUUCAUCUCCGGGGGUAGAGCACUGUUUCGGCAAGGGGGUCAUCCCGACUUACCAACCCGAUGCAAACUGCGAAUACCGGAGAAUGUUAUCACGGGAGACACACGGCGGGUGCUAACGUCCGUCGUGAAGAGGGAAACAACCCAGACCGCCAGCUAAGGUCCCAAAGUCAUGGUUAAGUGGGAAACGAUGUGGGAAGGCCCAGACAGCCAGGAUGUUGGCUUAGAAGCAGCCAUCAUUUAAAGAAAGCGUAAUAGCUCACUGGUCGAGUCGGCCUGCGCGGAAGAUGUAACGGGGCUAAACCAUGCACCGAAGCUGCGGCAGCGACGCUGAUGCGUUGUUGGGUAGGGGAGCGUUCUGUAAGCCUGUGAAGGUGUACUGUGAGGUAUGCUGGAGGUAUCAGAAGUGCGAAUGCUGACAUAAGUAACGAUAAAGCGGGUGAAAAGCCCGCUCGCCGGAAGACCAAGGGUUCCUGUCCAACGUUAAUCGGGGCAGGGUGAGUCGACCCCUAAGGCGAGGCCGAAAGGCGUAGUCGAUGGGAAACAGGUUAAUAUUCCUGUACUUGGUGUUACUGCGAAGGGGGGACGGAGAAGGCUAUGUUGGCCGGGCGACGGUUGUCCCGGUUUAAGCGUGUAGGCUGGUUUUCCAGGCAAAUCCGGAAAAUCAAGGCUGAGGCGUGAUGACGAAGCACUACGGUGCUGAAGCAACAAAUGCCCUGCUUCCAGGAAAAGCCUCUAAGCAUCAGGUAACAUCAAAUCGUACCCCAAACCGACACAGGUGGUCAGGUAGAGAAUACCAAGGCGCUUGAGAGAACUCGGGUGAAGGAACUAGGCAAAAUGGUGCCGUAACUUCGGGAGAAGGCACGCUGAUAUGUAGGUGAAGCGACUUGCUCGUGGAGCUGAAAUCAGUCGAAGAUACCAGCUGGCUGCAACUGUUUAUUAAAAACACAGCACUGUGCAAACACGAAAGUGGACGUAUACGGUGUGACGCCUGCCCGGUGCCGGAAGGUUAAUUGAUGGGGUCAGCGCAAGCGAAGCUCUUGAUCGAAGCCCCGGUAAACGGCGGCCGUAACUAUAACGGUCCUAAGGUAGCGAAAUUCCUUGUCGGGUAAGUUCCGACCUGCACGAAUGGCGUAAUGAUGGCCAGGCUGUCUCCACCCGAGACUCAGUGAAAUUGAACUCGCUGUGAAGAUGCAGUGUACCCGCGGCAAGACGGAAAGACCCCGUGAACCUUUACUAUAGCUUGACACUGAACAUUGAGCCUUGAUGUGUAGGAUAGGUGGGAGGCUUUGAAGUGUGGACGCCAGUCUGCAUGGAGCCGACCUUGAAAUACCACCCUUUAAUGUUUGAUGUUCUAACGUGGACCCGUAAUCCGGGUUGCGGACAGUGUCUGGUGGGUAGUUUGACUGGGGCGGUCUCCUCCUAAAGAGUAACGGAGGAGCACGAAGGUUGGCUAAUCCUGGUCGGACAUCAGGAGGUUAGUGCAAUGGCAUAAGCCAGCUUGACUGCGAGCGUGACGGCGCGAGCAGGUGCGAAAGCAGGUCAUAGUGAUCCGGUGGUUCUGAAUGGAAGGGCCAUCGCUCAACGGAUAAAAGGUACUCCGGGGAUAACAGGCUGAUACCGCCCAAGAGUUCAUAUCGACGGCGGUGUUUGGCACCUCGAUGUCGGCUCAUCACAUCCUGGGGCUGAAGUAGGUCCCAAGGGUAUGGCUGUUCGCCAUUUAAAGUGGUACGCGAGCUGGGUUUAGAACGUCGUGAGACAGUUCGGUCCCUAUCUGCCGUGGGCGCUGGAGAACUGAGGGGGGCUGCUCCUAGUACGAGAGGACCGGAGUGGACGCAUCACUGGUGUUCGGGUUGUCAUGCCAAUGGCACUGCCCGGUAGCUAAAUGCGGAAGAGAUAAGUGCUGAAAGCAUCUAAGCACGAAACUUGCCCCGAGAUGAGUUCUCCCUGACUCCUUGAGAGUCCUGAAGGAACGUUGAAGACGACGACGUUGAUAGGCCGGGUGUGUAAGCGCAGCGAUGCGUUGAGCUAACCGGUACUAAUGAACCGUGAGGCUUAACCUUACAACGCCGAAGCUGUU